GACGAACGCUGGCGGCGUGCUUAACACAUGCAAGUCGAACGGAAAGGCCCUGCUUUUGUGGGGUGCUCGAGUGGCGAACGGGUGAGUAACACGUGAGUAACCUGCCCUUGACUUUGGGAUAACUUCAGGAAACUGGGGCCAAUACCGGAUAGGUGCUCCUGCUGCAUGGUGGGUGUUGGAAAGUUUCGGCGGUUGGGGAUGGACUCGCGGCUUAUCAGGUUGUUGGUGGGGUAGUGGAUUACCAAGGCCUUGACGGGUAGCCUGCCUGAGCGGGUUGCCUGACACAUUGGGACUGAGAUACGGCCCAGACUCCUACGGGACGCAGCAGUGGGGAAUAUUGCACAAUGGGCUGAAGCCUAAUGCAACAACGCCGCGUGCGGGAUAACGGGCAGCGGGUUGUAUACCGCUUUCGCCUGAGAAGAAGCGUGAGUGACGGUAAUGGGUAAAGAAGCACCGGCUAACUACGUG
RNAcentral lists this ribosomal RNA (468 nucleotides) under uncultured bacterium. RNAcentral's name for it is "partial 16S ribosomal RNA". It matches the Rfam family "Bacterial small subunit ribosomal RNA", at positions 28 to 507 of the family's 1533-position model. The record is from RNAcentral.